This 451-nucleotide ribosomal RNA is filed under the name uncultured bacterium. RNAcentral's name for it is "partial 16S ribosomal RNA". It matches the Rfam family "Bacterial small subunit ribosomal RNA", at positions 354 to 796 of the family's 1533-position model. The record is from RNAcentral.
GUGGGGAAUAUUGGACAAUGGGGGGAACCCUGAUCCAGCCAUGCCGCGUGUGUGAAGAAGGCCUUUUGGUUGUAAAGCACUUUAAGCGAGGAGGAGGCUACCGAGAUUAAUACUCUUGGAUAGUGGACGUUACUCGCAGAAUAAGCACCGGCUAACUCUGUGCCAGCAGCCGCGGUAAUACAGAGGGUGCAAGCGUUAAUCGGAUUUACUGGGCGUAAAGCGCGCGUAGGUGGCCAAUUAAGUCAAAUGUGAAAUCACCGAGCUUAACUUGGGAAUUGCAGUCGAUACUGGUUGGCUAGAGUAUGGGAGAGGAUGGUAGAAUUCCAGGUGUAGCGGUGAAAUGCGUAGAGAUCUGGAGGAAUACCGAUGGCGAAGGCAGCCAUCUGGCCUAAUACUGACACUGAGGUGCGAAAGCAUGGGGAGCAAACAGGAUUAGAAACCCGGGUAGUCC